RNAcentral lists this ribosomal RNA (164 nucleotides) under uncultured bacterium. RNAcentral's name for it is "partial 16S rRNA". It matches the Rfam family "Bacterial small subunit ribosomal RNA", at positions 354 to 511 of the family's 1533-position model. The record is from RNAcentral.
GUAGGGAAUCUUCCACAAUGGGCGCAAGCCUGAUGGAGCAACACCGCGUGAGUGAAGAAGGGUUUCGGCUCGUAAAGCUCUGUUGUUAAAGAAGAACACGUAUGAGAGUAACUGUUCAUACGUUGACGGUAUUUAACUAGAAGUCACGGCUAACUACGUGCCAC